This 364-nucleotide ribosomal RNA is filed under the name uncultured bacterium. RNAcentral describes it as "bacterial SSU rRNA". It matches the Rfam family "Bacterial small subunit ribosomal RNA", at positions 32 to 408 of the family's 1533-position model. The record is from RNAcentral.
AAUCAACGUUGGCGGCGCGCUUAACACAUGCAAGUCGAACGAGAAGUGGAGCAAUCCAUGAGUAAAGUGGCGUACGGGUGAGUAACACGUGGGUAUCCAUUCUUUGGUGGGGAAUAACUUUGGGAACCGAAGCUAAUACCGCAUAAGUCCGAGAGGAGAAAGGUGAAAAUCGCCGAAGAGGGAGCCCGCGGCUGAUUAGCUAGUUGGUGAGGUAACGGCCCACCAAGGCGAAGAUCGGUAGCCGGCCUGAGAGGGCGACACGGCCACACUGGCACUGAGACACGGGCCAGACUCCUACGGGAGGCAGCAGUGGGGAAUCUUGCACAAUGGGGCGAACCCUGAUGCAGCGACGCCGCGUGAACGA